This 564-nucleotide long non-coding RNA is filed under the name Homo sapiens (human). RNAcentral's name for it is "VPS28 subunit of ESCRT-I (ENSG00000285339.2)". The record is from RNAcentral. Lineage: Eukaryota; Metazoa; Chordata; Mammalia; Primates; Hominidae.
GCUGACCGAGCGCACCCCGCCCCCGGCGCCAUCUUCCCGACCGCGAGCCGUCCAGGUCUCAGUGCUGUGCCCCCCCCAGAGCCUAGAGGAUGUUUCAUGGGAUCCCAGCCACGCCGGGCAUAGGAGGUGAGUGUGGCUGGAAGGGCGCAGGCUUUCAGCCGCUUCUGCAGGGGCUGACGGGCAGUAUUGGGUAUUGGGGAUCGGGGGUGGGGAGGUAUCUGACCCUGCUCUCGUACAGCCUUGGGGGUGGCCAGGGGCUAAAUAGUUCAUUGCAGGAGCACUGAGGGCUCAGAAACCUCCAGACAGAACUGGCUUGGUCCUGCUGGGCAGAGAUGAUGAGCUUCGGUGUGGCCAGAACGGUGGGGGUCCUGGGCACCCUGUGUCACCAAUCCCAGGGGAGAGGCUGUGUGUGGUGAGCCUUGUUGGCACUGCAUCAUGAGCCACGAGCAGGGCGUGGCCACUGUUGUGCAGGUGACUCCGCCAGGGAGCCAUGGUGGAGCUGGGGAGCUGGGCCUGUCAUGCGGUCCCCCGGGGAGCCGCAGUGGAGCUGGGGAGCUGGGCCUG